CGGCGGACGGGUGAGUAACGCGUAGGAAUCUACCCAGUAGCGGGGGAUAACAAUCGGAAACGGUUGCUAAUACCGCAUACGCCCUAAGGGGGAAAGCAGGGGGAUCUUCGGACCUUGCACUAUCGGAUGAGCCUGCGUCGGAUUAGUUUGUUGGUGAGGUAAUGGCUCACCAAGACGACGAUCCGUAGCUGGUCUGAGAGGAUGAUCAGCCACAUCGGGACUGAGACACGGCCCGA
Molecule: ribosomal RNA, 236 nt
Filed under: uncultured bacterium
Lineage: Bacteria
Description: partial 16S ribosomal RNA
Rfam family: Bacterial small subunit ribosomal RNA
Source: RNAcentral